GCUGCGAGGCUGCACAGACGAAUCCUGGAAGG
Molecule: non-coding RNA, 32 nt
Filed under: Geobacter sulfurreducens PCA
Lineage: Bacteria; Pseudomonadati; Thermodesulfobacteriota; Desulfuromonadia; Geobacterales; Geobacteraceae
Source: RNAcentral